ACAUGCAAGUCGAGGGGCAUCAUGUCGGUUGCUUGCAACCGAUGAUGGCGACCGGCGCACGGGUGAGUAACGCGUAUCCAACCUUCCGCACACUAAGGGAUAACCCGUUGAAAGACGGCCUAAUACCUUAUGUCCUCCACGGCAGACAUCUAAUGUGGAGUAAAGAUCAUCGGUGUGUGAUGGGGAUGCGUCUGAUUAGGCAGUUGGCGGGGUAACGGCCCACCAAACCGACGAUCAGUACGGGUUCUGAGAGGAAGGUCCCCCACAUUGGAACUGAGACACGGUCCAAACUCCUACGGGAGGCAGCAGUGAGGAAUAUUGGUCAAUGGGCGAGAGCCUGAACCAGACAAGUAGCGUGCAGGACGACGGCCCUAUGGGUUGUAAACUGCUUUUAUGCGGGGAUAAAACGCGGGACGUGUCCCGCCUUGCAGGUACCGCAUGAAUAAGGACCGGCUAAUUCCGUGCCAGCAGCCGCGGUAAUACGGAAGGUCCGGGCGUGAUCCGGAUUUAUUGGGUUUACAGGGAGCGUAGGCCGCUUUGUACGCGUGUUGUGAAAUUUGCCGGCUCAACCGGUAACUUGCAGCGCGAACUGCAGAGCUUGAGUGUGCGCAACGUUGGCGGAAUUCGUCGUGUAGCGGUGAAAUGCUUAGAUAUGACGAAGAACUCCGAUUGCGAAGGCAGCUGACGGGAGCACUACUGACGCUGAAGCUCGAAAGUGCGGGUACCGAACAGGAUUAGAUACCCUGGUAGUCCGCACGGUAAACGAUGGAUGCCCGCUGUUUGCACAUAGUUGCAAGCGGCCAAGCGAAAGCGUUAAGCAUCCCACCUGGGGAGUACGCCGGCAACGGUGAAACUCAAAGGAAUUGACGGGGGCCCGCACAAGCGGAGGAACAUGUGGUUUAAUUCGAUGAUACGCGAGGAACCUUACCCGGGCUUGAAUUGCAGGAGAACGAUCCAGAGAUGGUGAGGUCCUUCGGGACUCCUGUGAAGGUGCUGCAUGGUUGUCGUCAGCUCGUGCCGUGAGGUGUCGGCUUAAGUGCCAUAACGAGCGCAACCCCUUUCCUCAGUUGCCAUCAGUUCGAGCUGGGCACUCUGGGGACACUGCCACCGCAAGGUGUGAGGAAGGUGGGGAUGACGUCAAAUCAGCACGGCCCUUACGUCCGGGGCUACACACGUGUUACAAUGGGGGGUACAGAGAGCCGGUGGCGCGCAAGCUCCAUCCAAUCCUUAAAGCCCUCCUCAGUUCGGACUGGGGUCUGCAACCCGACCCCACGAAGCUGGAUUCGCUAGUAAUCGCGCAUCAGCCUGGCGCGGUGAUACGUUCCCGGCCUUGUACACACCGCCCGUCAAGCCA
This 1354-nucleotide ribosomal RNA is filed under the name uncultured bacterium. RNAcentral's name for it is "bacterial SSU rRNA". It matches the Rfam family "Bacterial small subunit ribosomal RNA", at positions 53 to 1404 of the family's 1533-position model. The record is from RNAcentral.